CACCUAUAAUUGUAACCAAAGAACAAAUUUAAAUUGAAUGUAAAAGUGGGCUUAGCCAGUAUGGUGUAUGGAAGUGGACCCUCUGUUUUUCAACUACUUUCUGUUGUUCAAUAAGGUGGCUGUUUGUUGUUCCUUGUCAAUGUUUUCCCACUUUUUUUGUCCAAGAAUAUCGUUUCCCACUUUCACAUAAACUUAUGAUCUCAUUAACUGAUAUUUUUAAUAGCUUAAACCCAACAACAUAAGUACAUGACUUCGAGCCCUGAGCUCGUGCAUGUUCUGAUAUUGGUGGGUCACCAUAUCUUUUUUUAUCAAAAGGAUAAAGAUCAAAGACGCUGCUACUUCGUUAAUUAGUUUAAUUUCCUUCCAACAAACGCCUCUUCGAGUUUGAAUUAUUUUUUUAAUUAUUUAAUCUCUUGUUAAGAAAUGGCUUAAAAUUGGUAGUGGAUUGUUGUUGUUGGUAGUGGGUUGUUGGUGGUAGUGGAUUAGUGGAUGGUUGUUGGUAUCCAUUUUCAACCACAAAUCUUUGCCAAAGUUUUGGACAAUUAUGUCCUUGAACUCUCUUAUAAAUAGAGAGGUUCAUUAGCCAUAUUCAUCAUCCCAAACCAAGAGAGAGCAAAGCUUGUUCUUUGAAAGCUAGGAUUUUAGCUUUCGGGUUUUCUAUAGGGGUUGAGAGUUGUGAGGUUCUCGGGUUGUGUCUUGAGUGUAAAACACUUGUAAUCUUCAUCUUGUUAUAGUGAAAUUUCUUUUCGCCUCUGCCCGUGGACGUAGGCAUUAAAGCCGAACCACGUAAAUCCUUGUGUUCACUUUAUUUUUCGUUCCGGUCAAUUUACUUGUAGUCAUAUCGGAGUUCUCGAAUCGAUCCUUUCCGCAACAAAUUGGUAUCAGAGCGUAGUUGAAGGAGUGAUAAUAUUUUCUGAAUUGCCCUGUGACUGCAGCUUUGUCUGAUCUUUCACAUCAGGAAGAAAAUAUUAUCAUUCAUUCAAAGGUUCCAAAUUAUGGCUACAAGUGUUUCAUCGACUAAGUAUGAUGUCGAGAAAUUUACCGGGAAAAAUAGUUUCAGUUUAUGGCGCAUCAAGAUGCGGGCAGUGCUGGUUCAACAAGGAUUGCUAAAAGCAUUGUCUGGUAAAGAUAAAUUACCAAGCACGCUUUCGGAAGAGCAAAAGGAUGACAUGCUAGAAAGAGCACAUAGUGCUAUUCUGCUAUGUCUAGGAGAUGAAGUGCUACGAGAAGUAGCGGAUGAGAAAACCGCGUCCGGUUUGUGGCUCCGGUUAGAGAGCAAGUACAUGACGAAGUCAUUGACGAACCGGCUCUACCUCAAGCAAAGACUCUAUGCCCUGAAGAUGGAGGAAGGUACACCUGUUUCCCAGCACCUGGAUAAAUUCAAUUCCAUUAUCAUGGAUUUGAAUAAUAUCGAUAACAAAAUCGAUGAUGAGGACCAAGCAAUAAUUGUUUUGUGUUCUUUGCCUCCCUCGUAUGAGAAUUUUGUUGAUACAAUGAUGUACGGUCGUGAUGACCUGACUCUAGAGGAGGUGAAAAAUGCCUUAAGUUCCAGUGAGUUGAGGAAGAAAAUCACUGGUAAGGUGGUCGAAAACAAUGAAGGCGAAGGCUUGGUUGCUCGAGGAAGAUCCAAGGCAAAGGGUGGAAGUUCAAGUAAAAGCCAUCCUAGAUCGCAGUCCAAGAAGAGAAUACAGUGCUACUACUGUAAGAAGUACGGGCACAUGAAGGUAGAUUGUCCGAAAAGGAAGGAGAAAUCAGAAUCACAGGAGCAACAAAAUGAUCGUGCGAAUGUAGCUGAUGCAGAUUCUUCAAGUGAUGCCGAGAUCGUUCUUGCAGUAUCCGACUCUUACGCUGGUGGGAGAUGGAUUCUUGAUACGGGAGCUACAUUUCAUAUAAGUACUUCGAAAGAUGCAUUCUCAACAUACGAGAAGCAUUCUGGUUCAGUACUAAUGGGAAAUGACCACGCAUGUCAAGUCAUGGGGAUUGGCACAGUUCGUAUAAAGAUGUUUGACGGUAUUGUUAGAACUCUAACUGAUGUUCGGCACAUUCCAGAAAUGAAGAAAAAUUUGAUCUCUUUGAGUACGUUGGACAAGAAAGGCUUUCGGUACUCUGCUGAAGGUGGAGUUCUCAAGGUAUUCUCGGGUGCUUUGACUGUGAUACGUGGUAAUUUGGAGCGGGGCCUUUACUUCCUCGAUGGUUCCUCGGUUACAGGUGUUGCGGGAGUGUCAUCAUCAGAUGAUCUAGAUUCUGACACCACGCAGUUAUGGCAUAUGCGGCUCGGGCAUAUGAGCGAGAGAGGCUUAUCGGUGCUAAGCAAACGAGGAUUAUUGUCUGGGCAGUGUACAGGAAAGUUGAAUUUCUGUGAGCACUGCGUCUUCGGUAAGCAGACUCGGGUAAAGUUCAGCACUGGGAUUCACAAGACAAAAGGCACAGUGGAUUACUUCCAUUCUGACCUUUGGGGGCCUUCUCCGACAAUUUCUAAAGGUGGUUACAGAUAUCUGCUUACCUUUAUCGAUGAUUACUCGAGAAAGGUUUGGGUGUAUUUUCUGAAGAGCAAGUAUGAGGUUCUCAUCAACUUCAAGCAAUUUAAAGCUUUGAUCGAAAAUCAAACAGGAAAGAAGAUCAAGCGAUUCCGGACGGAUAAUGGCUUGGAGUUUUGCUCAGGUGAAUUCAAUGAGUUCUGCAAAAAUGAAGGAAUAGUGAGACACCGCACUGUUCGUCGAACACCACAACAAAAUGGAGUUGCAGAACGCAUGAAUAGAACUCUCUUGGAGCGAGCUCGUUGCAUGCGAUCAAAUGCUGGGCUCGGUGAAGAAUUUUGGGCUGAAGCUGUUAAUACUGCUUGUUAUUUGGUUAACAGAUCUCCGUCAACAGCUAUUGAGCUGAAGACUCCUGAGGAAGUAUGGUCUGGUUCUCCUGCUGAUUACUCUGGUUUAAGAGUGUUUGGCUGCCCUGCGUAUGCUCAUGUAAAUGAGGGAAAACUCAAACCGAGGGCGAAGAAAUGCAUAUUUCUUGGAUACGGCCAAGGGGUGAAAGGAUACAGGUUGUGGUGUCCUGAUCCGGUUUCGUCCAAGUUCAUCAUCAGCAGAGAUGUGACUUUUGAUGAGUCAUCCAUGCUUCGAUCCACCACAAAUUCCCGGGAAAAGGAGGAGUCAGAUAGAAUGGGAGAUCACGGUGUUGAGAAGCAGGUGGAGUGUCAGGUGGACGCUCCAAUUCCUACGGAAGGUACUUCAGUCCAGGAUGAUCAAGUUGAGGUGCAAGAUUCCGAUGAAGAUGAGUCACCUCAAGAAAAACCAUAUAGCAUUGCCACUGGAAGAACGAAGAGACAAAUCAAACCAAAUCCGCGUUACGCUAAUCUGGUGUCUUUCGCGCUCAGUGUGGCGGAGUCCAUUGGUAUAGAACCUUCCAGUUAUAAUGAGGCUGUCACGUGUGAUGAGUCGGCACAGUGGGCAAUUGCUAUGAGUGAGGAGAUAGAAUCUCUUCACAAGAACCAUACUUGGGAGUUGGUUAAGCCGCCAAGUAACCAGAAGAUAGUUGGUUGCAAAUGGGUCUUCAAGAAAAAGGAAGGCAUCCUAGGGGUUGAAGCAACUAGAUUCAAGGCACGAUUGGUUGCUAAAGGCUUCACUCAGAAAGAGGGGAUUGACUACAAUGAAGUUUUCUCCCCAGUCGUAAAGCAUUCUUCCAUUCGUGUAUUACUUGCCAUGGUGGCCAAGUCUGAUCUAGAACUUGAGCAGCUUGACGUAAAAACGGCGUUCUUGCAUGGUGAGCUCGAGGAAACAAUCUACAUGCGUCAACCAGAGGGUUUUACAUUUCCUGGUAAAGAAGACCAUGUCUGUCUAUUAAAGAAGUCUUUAUAUGGAUUGAAACAAUCCCCAAGGCAGUGGUACAAGCGGUUUGAUAGCUUCAUGAUUCAGCAUGGUUACACAAGAUGUGACUAUGAUGCUUGUGUCUAUCAUCGGAAGCUCUCAGAUGGUUCGCACAUUUAUUUGUUGCUGUAUGUUGAUGACAUGUUAAUUGCUUCCAAAAACAUGUCGGAAAUCAACAAGUUAAAGUCGCAGUUGAGUGGUGAGUUCGAGAUGAAGGAUCUGGGUGCUGCCAAGAAAAUUUUGGGCAUGGAUAUUCACAGAGAUCGCAAGGCGGGCAAGCUUCGUGUGUCGCAGAAGAACUACAUUGAAAAGGUUCUUCAACGCUUCGGCAUGGAUAAAGCGAAAACUGUGAGUACUCCGUUGGCACCACAUUUCAAACUCUCUGCAGAGUUGUCACCACAAUCUGAUGAAGAAAAGCAGCAAAUGUCUCACAUUCCAUACUCGAGUGCAGUUGGAAGCGUGAUGUAUGCAAUGGUUUGCACUCGUCCAGACAUUUCACAUGCAGUUAGUGUGGUCAGCAGAUACAUGAGUUGUCCUGGCAAGGAACACUGGCAGGCCGUGAAAUGGAUUCUCAGGUACUUGAGAGGUUCUGCAGAUUUAUGCUUGGUAUAUGAUCAGAGUGACUGCACUAGCAGUGUCACGGGCUAUGUGGACUCUGAUUAUGCUGGAGAUCUGGACAAAAGAAGAUCUCUGACGGGUUAUGUUUUCACUUAUUCUGGAGGAGCCAUUAGUUGGAAAGCUGUGUUACAGUCUACCGUAGCCUUAUCUACGACUGAGGCGGAAUAUAUGGCGUUAGCAGAAGCAGUGAAAGAAGCAUUGUGGAUGAAAGGUCUAGUAAGCAGUUUGGGUUUACAACAGGAUUUCACUGUUGUAUUUUGCGAUAGCCAGAGUGCCAUACAUCUGACUAAAAAUCAGAUGUUUCAUGAACGGACCAAACACAUUGAUGUCAGAUAUCAUUUUGUUCGAGAACAUGUUACGCAAGGUGACAUUGUUAUCAGCAAGGUUGCUACCGAGAAGAAUCCUGCAGAUAUGUUAACUAAGGUGAUCCCUGCAUAUAAGUUCAAGCAUUGCUUGGACUUGAUAGGUAUUCGGGAUUGAUUAGCGCCAGAGAGGCGUUUGGAAGAGGUGAUCCAGUUCGAGGAAUUGACUAUGAUGUUCAGCUUGGUAAAUUUCAAGCCAAGGUGGAGAUUUGUUAAGAAAUGGCUUAAAAUUGGUAGUGGAUUGUUGUUGUUGGUAGUGGGUUGUUGGUGGUAGUGGAUUAGUGGAUGGUUGUUGGUGUCCAUUUUCAACCACAAAUCUUUGCCAAAGUUUUGGACAAUUAUGUCCUUGAACUCUCUUAUAAAUAGAGAGGUUCAUUAGCCAUAUUCAUCAUCCCAAACCAAGAGAGAGCAAAGCUUGUUCUUUGAAAGCUAGGAUUUUAGCUUUCGGGUUUUCUAUAGGGGUUGAGAGUUGUGAGGUUCUCGGGUUGUGUCUUGAGUGUAAAACACUUGUAAUCUUCAUCUUGUUAUAGUGAAAUUUCUUUUCGCCUCUGCCCGUGGACGUAGGCAUUAAAGCCGAACCACGUAAAUCCUUGUGUUCACUUUAUUUUUCGUUUCGGUCAAUUUACUUGUAGUCAUAUCAGAGUUCUCGAAUCGAUCCUUUCCGCAACAUCUCUGAAAACAUACAUAUUUUUCCCUGUUUGGUUCCUAAGAAACCACAAGGAAAUAUGUCUAAAAGAAAAACAAAGGGUUUACAUUUAAACAUCCAAAUAAACUUAAAGUGUGAUUAAAACCAGAUUAUAAUUUGUUUUUUGCAAGUUAAAAUGAUUUCAUUUGGGAAAUAAAAGAUAUAUGUAUAUUUA
RNAcentral lists this long non-coding RNA (5703 nucleotides) under Gossypium barbadense (sea-island cotton). Its description in RNAcentral is "long non-coding RNA (GBAR_LNC020760)". The record is from RNAcentral. Lineage: Eukaryota; Viridiplantae; Streptophyta; Magnoliopsida; Malvales; Malvaceae.